Long non-coding RNA from Branchiostoma belcheri (Belcher's lancelet), 230 nucleotides. RefSeq lists it as uncharacterized. The transcript is spliced from 3 exons. NCBI's taxonomy places the organism in Eukaryota, Metazoa, Chordata, Leptocardii, Amphioxiformes, Branchiostomatidae. The record is from RefSeq and is a predicted model, not a curated record.
UCUCUCUUCAAAUCAAUCAGAAUACAUCAGAGGAAAGAAGAGAGGCUCCAGCAGGAAGACGAAGUGGUGGAGGAAGCUCUGCUGCUGGCUCAGACAAGAGGACACAGAUGACGAGCUGGAGUAGUGACAAGAAAAGCCAGAAGUGGGAAGUGACUUCCAAAGACUUAUUUUUAUACAGAUAUUUCUAUAGAAACUUCUAUAUUGUAUCCUAAGAGAAGCUGACAACUUUG